AAGUCCCGGAGAACUUUAAAUCUCUACUCCAGGUUUGCAACCUGGUGUGUUAACACCUCGGAACC
Molecule: transfer RNA, 65 nt
Filed under: Barisia imbricata
Lineage: Eukaryota; Metazoa; Chordata; Lepidosauria; Squamata; Anguidae
Description: tRNA-Cys
Source: RNAcentral